RNAcentral lists this ribosomal RNA (895 nucleotides) under Lentomitella crinigera. RNAcentral's name for it is "LSU rRNA". It matches the Rfam family "Eukaryotic large subunit ribosomal RNA", at positions 38 to 965 of the family's 3401-position model. Lineage: Eukaryota; Fungi; Ascomycota; Sordariomycetes; Xenospadicoidales; Xenospadicoidaceae. The record is from RNAcentral.
GCAUAUCAAUAAGCGGAGGAAAAGAAACCAACAGGGAUUGCCUCAGUAACGGCGAGUGAAGCGGCAACAGCUCAAAUUUGAAAUCUGGCCUCGUGCCCGAGUUGUAAUUUGUAGAGGAUGCUUUCGGCGCGGCGCCUUCCGAGUUCCCUGGAACGGGACGCCACAGAGGGUGAGAGCCCCGUAUGGUCGGAUGCCAAGCCAUUGUAAAGCUCCCUCGACGAGUCGAGUAGUUUGGGAAUGCUGCUCAAAAUGGGAGGUAAAUUUCUUCUAAAGCUAAAUACCGGCCAGAGACCGAUAGCGAAAAAGUAGAGUGAUCGAAAGAUGAAAAGCACUUUGAAAAGAGGGUUAAACAGCACGUGAAAUUGUUGAAAGGGAAGCGCUUGUGACCAGACCUGCGCCUGGGGGAUCAUCCGGCGUUCUCGCCGGUGCACUCCGCUAGGCUGCAGGCCAGCAUCGGUUCUCCUAGGGGGAUAAAAGCUUCGGGAACGUGGCUCCUUAGUGAGUGUUAUAGCCCGUUGCACAAUACCCUUGGGGGGACCGAGGUACGCGCUCCGCAAGGAUGCUGGCGUAAUGGUCAUCAGCGACCCGUCUUGAAACACGGACCAAGGAGUCAAGCAUUAGGGCGAGUGUUUGGGUGUAAAACCCGCACGCGAAAUGAAAGUGAACGUAGGUGAGAGCUUCGGCGCAUCAUCGACCGAUCCUGAUGUUCUCGGAUGGAUUUGAGUAAGAGCCUUACCGCUUGGACCCGAAAGAUGGUGAACUAUGCCUGUAUAGGGUGAAGCCAGAGGAAACUCUGGUGGAGGCUCGCAGCGGUUCUGACGUGCAAAUCGAUCGUCAAAUAUGGGCAUGGGGGCGAAAGACUAAUCGAACUAUCUAGUAGCUGGUUACCGCCGAA